This 253-nucleotide ribosomal RNA is filed under the name uncultured bacterium. RNAcentral's name for it is "partial 16S ribosomal RNA". It matches the Rfam family "Bacterial small subunit ribosomal RNA", at positions 524 to 776 of the family's 1533-position model. The record is from RNAcentral.
GACAGAGGAGCCAAGCGUUGUCCGGAUUGACUGGGCGUAAAGGGCACGCAGGUGGUCGCGCAAGUGUGAUGUGAAAGCGGCUCGCUUAACGAGCCGAGGCCAUCGCCGACUGCGUAACUCGAGUCCCGGAGAGGAGGGUGGAAUUCCUGGUGUAGCGGUGAAAUGCGUAGAUAUCAGGAGGAACACCGGUGGCGAAGGCGGCCCUCUGGACGGUGACUGACGCUGAGACGCGAAAGCGUGGGGAGCAAACGGG